AGUGAACGCUGGCGGUAGGCCUAACACAUGCAAGUCGAACGGCAGCACAGUAAGAGCUUGCUCUUACGGGUGGCGAGUGGCGGACGGGUGAGGAAUACAUCGGAAUCUACUUUUUCGUGGGGGAUAACGUAGGGAAACUUACGCUAAUACCGCAUACGACCUACGGGUGAAAGCAGGGGAUCUUCGGACCUUGCGCGAUUGAAUGAGCCGAUGUCGGAUUAGCUAGUUGGCGGGGUAAAGGCCCACCAAGGCGACGAUCCGUAGCUGGUCUGAGAGGAUGUACACCCACACGGAAGCGGAGACGCGGCCGACACCCCUAGGGGGGGAAGCAGGGGGAAAGAUGGAAAAAGGGGGGCAAGCUGGACCCAGCAAUCCCGCGUGGGGGAAGAAGGCUUGGGGUUUGAAAACCCUUUUUGUGGGGAAAAAAAAGCAGGGGGUUAAUACCCCGCUGUUCUGACGGUACCAAAAGAAUAAGCACCGGCUACCUUCGU
This 491-nucleotide ribosomal RNA is filed under the name uncultured bacterium. RNAcentral's name for it is "partial 16S ribosomal RNA". It matches the Rfam family "Bacterial small subunit ribosomal RNA", at positions 29 to 506 of the family's 1533-position model. The record is from RNAcentral.